GUCAUUCGCUGCAGAUGACAGGGCAGAGUGCUGCAGUUUCCUCCCGAAGCCUGGCUCCAUCACUCCCUCAACAAUGGCAGCAUCACCCACCAGGUGAUCCGACCCAAUGGCGGGGACCCUCGGGGACACGGGGAUUCAUGCCCCCUGACAGCUUCACCCAGUCCUGAGGGCUGGCAACAAGACUCUGCCGUCCUUAAGUCAAGACCUGGCUCUGGCCUUUCCUUCCCUGUGUCCUCCCAUACAGGCUGCAUUGCAGUUAUUUGCUGUUCCCCAGGAGGCGGACUGUACAGUAGAAAUCUCUCAAAUGCUGCAUUUGGGUACUUAUCUCUGGCCCGAGCUGAGAAGGGAAACAUUCAGAUCAGAUUCCUCAUGAUUCUGGAUCUGAACUCAUCUGCUUUAUUACGGCUUUGAGGGCUCAAGGACUUACCAGCUGCACAGGCGACCAUGGGCAAGCAAGGGAUGAAAUGAGUCUGCAGAAGAGGUGUGACCUUCCGCCUUUGUGCUGGUCUCAAAGGAGAGGUGACAGGCUGCCGAUAGCCUAGAAGGAGGAUGUUAUCCUUAUUCAAUAAUAAAUCCCAGACUGACAGCUCAAUCCUAGUUUGCCUCUGAUUAAUUUUUUAUGCUUAGGGAUUAAAAUAUUUAAACAUGAUGUGUCUAUCAAAACUAUUUAAUAAAACUAUCCUAUUAAUUUAGGAAAAGUGACAAUUUCUAUAACAUGGUUAUGAACAUUUUCUGCGGUCAAUACAACUAAUUGGGAUAAUCUAUUUCUUUGCUUUGAAAAUGACUACAUAAUCAAAAUGACUGGUUUACAAAAAUUAAAAAUACAUAAAAAAAGAAAAGUAUCCAGAGCCCAUCAGUAGAGAUUUGUGAUUCAGUUGAUAAAAACUAGGGUUCAGGAAUAUGCAUUUUAAUUCAUUUAAGCUGAUUUUGAUGUGGGUGAUCAAAACAAACAUUUAAAUACAGCCUCUAAGGCCUUUUGCAAUUUUAACCCUCUCUUCUGUUCUAGUUUAUCACAAUUCCUAUCGCCCACUUACAGAAUGCAUGGUGACUUACAAAAUCUAGUGUGCUCAAUGAGUAUAAUUUUAUUUGAAAUCCAAGCUCGCUGGGUGCUGGAAUUGGUUAGAAAAGAUUCCAGUCAUCAUAGUAUAUUACAGCAUUCUGCUGGCUGCAUGUGGUAGUCUUGUCACUGUUUCAGGUUACUUUGAUGGUUGGACUGAAUGAUUCCCACCACUACAAGAUUCUAUGAUUCUGAUUCUAAUUCUAUCAUAUUAUUGGGUCUUGGUUACUUGGCUAAACAU
This 1298-nucleotide long non-coding RNA is filed under the name Callithrix jacchus (white-tufted-ear marmoset). Its description in RNAcentral is "lncRNA (ENSCJAG00000073995.1)". Lineage: Eukaryota; Metazoa; Chordata; Mammalia; Primates; Cebidae. The record is from RNAcentral.